CAAGCUUCCACACCUGAUUCCAAUGAUCAGCAAACGAUGGAAGCGCAGCAGCCUUUCACAUCAGAAGAGAUCAUCGUCCAGCUCCACACACGCAGCAGCAACCUGUAUUUCAUCUGAAUAUUUGAAACGGUUUCAAUCGUCUUUUCAUCCUAACAUGUAUCACUAAAUGGACCCUUCAUGUUAAGUCCACUCUGUCCUAUGAGAGUAAAUGUGGGAGCAGAGGUCUCGUCUGGAGCCCAUACAGGAAGAGUCAGAGUGGGAAGAUGAAACCACAGGAAGCAAAACCACAGAAGGAGAAGAGGAGGAGGAGGAGGAGGAGGGGACAACAGCAAAGGUGAUUGCAGAAGAUGAGAGCGAAGAAGAUGAAGAUGCUGGGCUGAGGGUUAUGCGACCUAGUCGAACAUCUCGUUCCUUCAGCCAAGAGAGUUGUCUUCAUAUGCAACCCGAAAGCCAAAACGAUGGAGCGUCCGAUCAGAGCACACGUUUAGACUCCUCGGCUGAGGCGUGUCCCCCCCUUCAGCGGACACGGCUGUCCACUAGUGUCAAGCUGAGAAUGAAGGUCUUCAAGAGGAAGAUAAAUAUAUUAGCUGAACCGUCAGCGCAGAAGAAGAAACAUGAGGUGGAGAAGAAGAAGAAGAAGAAGAAGAAGAAGAGGUCUCUGGCCGAGGAGCCGUUUCCUGGGUGGCUGGUGGACCUGAUGGUCAACAUUGAAGAGGCAACAACUCACCAACUGGUGGUGGAGUAACCACGUCCUUCUACACGGGGGCCCAUUGGAAGACGUGAUAAGAAGUCCAUGUGCCAGCCACCGGUUCUCUGUUUUCAUCAGUGGACAAACAAAAACCGCAACCACAGGCUGCAAUAAAGAGGAAUAAAAUCACUGUCUGUGUCAAAAUACUAUUAUUCUGUUUGUUUGUUUGCUCUUUCUUCUAAAACUGUUCUUGUUUCUUCUUUUCACACGUGUGUCUCCCAUCAGAAACACAACAUUUCCCUGUACCACAGACUUUAUCCGUCUCAAGAUUGGACAACACAAAGAAGACAUUACAUUACAUCAUCAGACGCUUUUAACCAAAGCGACUUACAUUACACUUUAAACUCAUGGCUUUUUCACAUUUUUGCCCGGGGAGCAAUUAGGGGUCAGGUGUCUUGCUCAGGGACACUUCGACAUGGAACAUGGGGCAGCCUGGAAUCGAACCACCAACCUUUUGCUUCCCAGCACACCUUCUCUAACCGCUGCGCCACGACGACCAAAGUCCAAUCUGUGGGCACGUCGAUCAAAUUUCUCUUUUGGGGUCCUGUUCUCGAUAACCACGAUAAACCUUCUGUAGUGUCUUUUCAGGUGUUGGUUGUAUGAAGAUGCUUUACUUGAAUAGAAGAAAAAUCUUUAAAAUCC
Gasterosteus aculeatus aculeatus (three-spined stickleback) is the source of this 1390-nucleotide long non-coding RNA. NCBI's taxonomy places the organism in Eukaryota, Metazoa, Chordata, Actinopteri, Perciformes, Gasterosteidae. The record is from Ensembl.